GAGCACUUCGCCCAGUCUGGUAGGGCAUUUGAUUUCGGAUCAAAGGGUCGCGGGUUCAAAUCCCGUACUGUUCACCA
This 77-nucleotide transfer RNA is filed under the name Nannocystis bainbridge. RNAcentral's name for it is "tRNA-Arg". It matches the Rfam family "tRNA". From Rfam's summary of the family: Transfer RNA (tRNA) molecules are approximately 80 nucleotides in length. Their secondary structure includes four short double-helical elements and three loops (D, anti-codon, and T loops). The record is from RNAcentral. Lineage: Bacteria; Pseudomonadati; Myxococcota; Nannocystales; Nannocystaceae.